GAUGAACGCUGGCGGCGUGCCUAAUACAUGCAAGUCGAGCGAACGGACGAGAAGCUUGCUUCUCUGAUGUUAGCGGCGGACGGGUGAGUAACACGUGGAUAACCUACCUAUAAGACUGGGAUAACUUCGGGAAACCGGAGCUAAUACCGGAUGAUAUUUUGAACCGCAUGGUUCAAAAUUGAAAGACGGUCUUGCUGUCACUUAUAGAUGUAUCCGCGCUUCAUUAGCUAGUUGGUAAGGUAACGGCUUACCAAGGCAACGAUGCAUAGCCGACCUGAGAGGGGGAUCGGCCACACUGGAACUGAGACACGGUCCAGACUCCUACGGGAGGCAGCAGUAGGGAAUCUUCCGCAAUGGGCGAAAGCCUGACGGAGCAACGCCGCGUGAUUGAUGAAGGUCUUCGGAUCGUAAAACUCUGUUAUUAGGGAAGAACAUAUGUGUAAGUAACUGUGCACAUCUUGACGGUACCUAAUCAGAAAGCCACGGCUAACUACGUG
This 497-nucleotide ribosomal RNA is filed under the name uncultured bacterium. RNAcentral describes it as "partial 16S ribosomal RNA". It matches the Rfam family "Bacterial small subunit ribosomal RNA", at positions 28 to 507 of the family's 1533-position model. The record is from RNAcentral.